This is a long non-coding RNA of Etheostoma cragini (Arkansas darter), 346 nucleotides long. RefSeq lists it as uncharacterized. Lineage: Eukaryota; Metazoa; Chordata; Actinopteri; Perciformes; Percidae. The transcript is spliced from 3 exons. The record is from RefSeq and is a predicted model, not a curated record.
GUGCAGAUCCACCUGACUUCUGUCACACCACACUCCACUUUAUUCCUAUGGGUGACCUCAAGCGACUUUAACGCGCCCGCAAAGCAUCGUGGGAAGGCGUCAAAAAAACUGGCUGUUGCCCAUCUUUAUGCAUAUGAAUCCAUUGAACGUGACACGACUAUCCAAUAAAAGUAGACGUAAAUCUUUCAAACUGACCUUUGUUGAUCUGAAAUGAAGACAGAUUCAGCAACUGCAUGGCCUAUUUCUCGCUUAAAAUGUUUUCAGAAAAGUUUUGAUUAAAUAUUUUCGUAAAAUACAGGAUUGUAUUACGAACAAGCCGCCAUUACUGUCAGCUGGAGAAGACAGA